RNAcentral lists this long non-coding RNA (3978 nucleotides) under Homo sapiens (human). Its description in RNAcentral is "PREDICTED lncRNA (TCONS_00235086)". Lineage: Eukaryota; Metazoa; Chordata; Mammalia; Primates; Hominidae. The record is from RNAcentral.
UCCGUCCACCUUCCGGAAGUCAGGGCCGCGGCGCUUCUGGUCCCGGAGACUUGGGGCUCCCGGGCUUCUGAGCGGCUCGGGUUCCGCGCUGCCGGCAGGGCUUGGGGGCGCCUUAGAGCCGAACCCCGUUUUUUCAGGAAAGGGCGCUGCGACCACCCCCGUCCCGGGCCUCAGCCCCUCUGCUGCAGACCCUCGGGAUCGUCGCUGGUAGGAGCUCUGUCCCCCGUGUCUGUGUCCAGGACCCCCGAAGCGCCGCGCCUAGGAACCCCCUAGCGCUGGGAGCCCGGCCCUGCUCGACCACGGGCUUUGGGCUGGAGGCGUCAUCGUCGCCACAGCGAACGCUUAUUUGGCACCGAGUGUCCGCCAGGCAUCGCUCUAAGCGCUUUAUACCCAUAACUCACUUCAUCUCAGCCACCCGGUUCCGUAGAAGCGUUUCAUCCGCGUUUUACAGACGUGUGCAGGAAAGAUUCUGAAGCUUGGCGGAGAGGGGUGUGUGAGUGGACACCAGUGAAGUAACGGUUUUUGUGUUACGAUGAUUUCUGUUUUCCUCUGCUGCCCUGUAAUGGCAGGAACUCGGAUAGUCUGGUCUUCAGACCAGGAGGACUCCCAGGAGAGAACGGAGAGCCAGUGUGCUGUGUGUCACGGUCCCUGGAUGAACGUUUGUGGAACUGGAUUGAAUUAAACAAGACGUGCAAAGCAAGUGGUUCACGAGGGUCUUGCUCCGUCGCCCAGUCUGGAGUGCAGUGGCAAGAUCUCUGCUCAGUGCAGCCUUGAACUCUCAGGCUCAAGAAAUCUUCCCGCCUCAGCCUCCCAAAGUGCUGGGAUUACAGAUUCGAUUGCUGUAGGGACCCCGUGGGUGUGGAAUCAGACAGUAUUGGUCCUUUCAUGACUGGCUUAUUUCACAAAACCCGAUGCCGUCGAGGUCCAUCCAUGCUGAGAUAUUUACGGAGCAUCCCCAGCUGCUGGAUGCUGGGACCCACCAGUGGGCAAGAGGGCCGUGCCCACCCCUUCCUGGAAGAGACACUCACUCAGUAAAUGCAGAGAUUCAGUGUUGGGGUAACCCCAGCACACAGCCCUGAGGGAGGAAGCCCAGUGAUUUGAUCGGAUUUGCUUUUCUCUUCUGCCUCGGAUUCUGUCCAACCCCUGGAAGGACCUCUGAGGUGUCCCGUGGCUGGUUCUAGGCCCCAUUCAAGCCUCCUCCUCCAGGAAGCCUUCCCAGUCCUGGGCAUCUGUAGCCAGCUCGGUGUUUCUCACCUGGGGCCUGGGACGUCUCCCAUUCUGAACUGCCGUGUUUUGGGUUUACUGUUCUCUGGCUUUUGGUCCCAGCCGGACGGUGGCCUCUUGUGUUCAGGGACAAGGCAAGGAGCAUCCAUGCACCCCCACAGUACCCAGGCUGGGUCUGUGCCCGCCAGGCCCCCGGCAAAGCUUGGAUGAUCCGGGCUGGGCUGUUCUCCUGCUGCUCUCCUGCUGCUGGCCUCGCUGUAUCAGCUGAUGGCCAUCGCGCCUCCUGCACCCGUCAUCCCGCCCUGCACGCCCCCGCCACGUGGAUGAGCUCCCUGGGGAGUUAAUGGCUAAUGGAGUCUCCGCUCUCUCUUGUCAAAUGCAGCCAUCAUCCGCUGGUGCUUUAAGGGACUCUCUCCCGUCCCCACCCUAUUCUCAGGUGGCUCCUACCGACACCACCUAAUGGUGAACCCCAACACGAGGACACAGGCAGUGCCCUCUCAGGACCACUGUGGGUGCCACCAGGCACGACUUCCUAAACACCCACAGAGCAAAAACCUGGAAAUUCAGCCGAGGCACUGGGACCCCAACCUCUCCCAGAGUGGCCCCAGCUCCACGGCGUCUGCAUGGCUCUGGCCGUGAGCAGAGCAGCCCCGACCUCCGUCCUGACCCAGGGCGCCGGAGCGCCACUGCGGAUCUCACCACCACACAAGCCAGACCUGCUAGGAAGCCCUUCCCGGCCACCAGCUCUCGGGCGAUGCACACAACAGGGCCUUUUGAAUUCCCUGAGGUUAAGGUUCCCCUUGAGUCUCCUGGGCUACAAGCAAAUCCCCCGAGGGGAGAAGUCCAGGCUGACACAGCCUCCUGCACCCCUGCCUUGGGAGGCCACACCUCGUUUGCCUCUAGAACCGACGACUGGGGAGCACUGUUUGCAGAGUUCUCUCUCUCUGGAACGGUGAAGGAAUCUGAAGCCCAGAGAGGGAAAACAAUGCCUCCUGGGUCACACAGCCCAUCAGGGGCAGGGCAGGGACGAACGGCGAGAAAAGGACCAGCGCGAGAGGAGAUCCCCAGCAGUGAUUCCUCAGCCAAGCCCAGCGUCUACCCACAUCCACACCUCACAGCCACCUGAUGGGGAAGGCACCAUUGCCCCUUUUCAAAGGUGAGAAAACAGAGGCUCAGAGAGGUUCAGCAACUUCUCCCACAGCUACUUCGUUGUAGAACUGCAGUUCCAGGUGUCCCCGAGCUCUCCCUUCCCGAGCCAUCUGCUCCUGCCCUCCUAUCCGAGCCCUGGCCCUCCCAGUCAAAGCCGGGUAGUGGCUGUUCAGAAGCCUUGGGGCUAGUCAAUCCCAGCUGUCUCGGACCAGGGCCCCCCCCAGGAGGAGACCCUGAAGGAUGCAGUUGAGAAUAUGUGCUUUCUUUGGUAGGUGAUCUCAGGAAUUGCAGGGGAAAGAGGGGGAGCGUGUUAGUGUAGGCUCUCCGGAGAAGCAGAACCAACGCACAGAGGAGAUUUAGGAUGAGGAAUCUGGUUUAUGUGACUCUGGGGGCUGAGAAGGCCCACCAUCUGUGUUGCAAGCUGGAAACCCAGGGAAGCCUGAGGUGUGAUUCAAACUCAGCUCAGGUCUGGAGGCCUGAGAACCAGGGCAGCCGAUGGUGGACAUCCAGUCCAGGGGCAAGAGAUGACGAGAUGUCCCGGCUCCAGUGGCGAGGCAGGAAAUGAGGGGUGAACUCCUCCUCCCUCUGCUGUCUGUUCUAUUCAAGUUCUUGAGGGAUUGGAUUAUGCCCAGCCACUUGGGGAGGGCAGUCCACCUUCCUGAGUCCACAAUUCAAAUGCUGAUCUAAUCCAGAAACACUCUCACAGACACAGUGUGUAGUCUGGGCACCCCACAGUGCACUUAAGUGGACACAUAAAAUUAACCAUCCCAGGGAGUGAGAUGGGUAAGGGAAGAUGGGCCACAGUGGGUGUGUCUCCAUGCCUACCCCCACUGUGGGCAGCUGCUGGAGCACACGCCUCAAAGUCUUCCCUGAGGGAGAGGGAGCUGAGGUGUUUAUAUCCCAGCUCUGUCAGGCAUUGGCUGAAUGUCCACACUCCUGGAUCACCGCCUCUCAUCCUCAUGAUGUCCCAUGGUCCUCAUUUCACAAGUGAGCUCUGGGUACAUGGGGAGCAUCAGUCACACCCUGGGUCAGUACCUCAGCUGUCUCUCACAUGACAUCCUCAUUAUCCACACUGCAAAGCCAACCAUCCCUAUGAUGGGUUCAUUGUGGAUCAUGACUUAGUGGGUCAAGAGUUUGGAAGUGGCUCAGCUGGGCGGUUCUUCUGCUCCAUGUGGCUGCCAGAUGGUACCCUGCUGGUGGGCAGUCUGGUCUAGAGGGUCCAUGAUGGCUUUACUCACAUGCCUGGCAUCUUGACAGGGACAGCUGGAAGGCAAGGUUCAGCUGGGACUGUCCACAGAGCUCCUCCCUGUGGCCUUUCCAGCAUGGUGGUCUCAGGGUAGCUGGACUUCCUGCAUGACAGCUCAGGGCUCCCAGAGCUACUGUCCCAAGAGAUAGAAGGUGGAAACUGCCAGUCUCUUAGGCUAGGACCAGAAACCAGCACCCCUGCACCCACAGCCUUUUGGUAGUGAUGAAAUAAACAUAAGAUUUAUCAUUUUAAUCAUUCGUAAGUGGGAUUAAAUACAUUUACAAUAUUGUGUAACCAUCGGCACUGUCUAUAUCUAAAACUUUUUCAUCAUCUGCAAUAAAAACUCUGUAUGCAUUAAA